UACGGAGGAUGCGAGCGUUAUCCGGAUUUACUGGGUUUAAAGGGUGCGUAGGCGGGCUUUUAAGUCAGCGGUAAAAAUUCGGGGCUCAACCCCGUCCGGCCGUUGAAACUGGGGGUCUUGAGUGGGCGAGAAGAAGGCGGAAUGCGUGGUGUAGCGGUGAAAUGCAUAGAUAUCACGCAGAACCCCGAUUGCGAAGGCAGCCUUCCGGCGCCCUACUGACGCUGAGGCACGAAAGUGCGGGGAUCGAACAGG
Molecule: ribosomal RNA, 252 nt
Filed under: uncultured bacterium
Lineage: Bacteria
Description: partial 16S ribosomal RNA
Rfam family: Bacterial small subunit ribosomal RNA
Source: RNAcentral